UUCUGGCCUAUUUUCUAUGCUACGUUUCACCUGCUGCUUCUUUGUCUCAUCUCCACACUGCAUAUUCUUUCUUAUUGAACGAAGAAUUGAUAAAAUCAUAUAAUUGCUCAAUAUCUUGCAUGACUGCAUAACCAACAACAGAAGAAGCAUGGAAAUCUUAUUCAUAGUCCCUUGAUGACAUUGCUUCUAAGGAAUAAUUAGAAAUAGGAAUUCACGUCUUACUGCGAACAAAAAUGUGAAUAUUGUUGUCGUUUUGGAGAUACUCCGGAAUAAUUACUCAAAGGGCAAAUUAUUAGUUUGAUUUGGACUGGUUGACUGGUUCCACUUAUGCUAUUAUGACAAAGGUAAUUUUCCUAUAAUUUCAUCCUUAAAUUAUAUGUCGUUGUUUGAUGGCCUUUCCCAGCUUUCUAAAAGGCUAAAAUUCAAAUUAAAUUACUGGAUGCAAUUUUAAAUGUCUGAGAUUUCAUCCUAGACUUUUUUCUUUUGAAAUGUUUGUAACUGGACACUUUUUGAAGUUAUUGUCUGUAAAGUUAAAGGCAUUACAAUGAA
Nicotiana tabacum (common tobacco) is the source of this 549-nucleotide non-coding RNA. The record is from RefSeq and is a predicted model, not a curated record. Lineage: Eukaryota; Viridiplantae; Streptophyta; Magnoliopsida; Solanales; Solanaceae.